Long non-coding RNA from Bombus impatiens (common eastern bumble bee), 3537 nucleotides. RefSeq lists it as uncharacterized. The record is from RefSeq and is a predicted model, not a curated record. The transcript has 2 exons. NCBI's taxonomy places the organism in Eukaryota, Metazoa, Arthropoda, Insecta, Hymenoptera, Apidae.
CGAUAUUCCUUCAGUGUCAUACAAAAUCCCAACAACAUUUUAUCGUUCGUUAGCCUCAGGCACUAAAACUCUAAUACGUAGCUACUUUCUUGGCUAGUUUCCAAGUCUGACAAUAAGACUGGAGAACAUCAAAUGACUGCAUUUGUCGUGGCGUAACGAAUCGCGGCGGGUCGUGAGAACGUUUCCCUGGGACAAGGGGAAACGAUUUCGCGUACAAAAUCGACACUUCCGCCGGCGCGAGUGUGUCUUUGUUCUGGCCAACAGACAAAGGAACGCGAAGUCACGGCUACAUCGACUGUGCACAGCUUGGCCAACCUAUGCACACUGUGAACGAGGCUUUAGGAACUCCGUGGUUGGAAUGCUGAGUCGCCGUGUGUAACGGGCAUGGAAUGCGCGAGAGGAAGUCGUGCGCGCUCGCAGAAAUUCACGUUCGAUCGGCUGAAAUUCAGGCACGCCAGCCUCAUUUCCCAUGCAGAACGAGGGCCACGGCAUUGCUACACGUGCUCUUAACUACGUGACGUGUUUACAUGGACCACUAGGAAACGACAUAUACGCACCGUGAUCGCGUGAAAAGGUAGCCUAGCGUGAUUUAUAGGUAUUUCGUUAUAGAGAAGAUCCUGCUCUCGGAAGAUGCAGUGGAAGAAAUAGUUGUCAGAGGAAAGAUAACUAUCCGAAGCUCGAGCCAUCAGAAUCUCAGAGUAUUUCAUACUUUGAAUCGCAGGUGAAAAAGUCGUUGGAAGAUUGAUCGGACAUCGAUCGAUCUCUGACAAAAUAUGGCAAAGUAUAAUUUUUCAUUACUAAAAAGUGCCGAAUCUAAAGCGUAAGCGAAUGAUAAACGAAACUAAUCUGGUUGUCAUUGUAGCGUAACAGCUUCUACAAUGAAUCGUUGGUACAGUAGCAACUAGCUGGCGUGAACGGAUCAUUACCUCGUUGCCGGUUUCCGAUCGUUCGCGGGACGAUUUAAUGGACCGUUCGCAGACCGUUUGCUCUGUUACAGCAAACCGAUCAUCGUCCGUUUCUUUCGCCUUGAGAAUCCUCUCAAAUGCUUCCGGAAGCCGCUGGAUAAAUAACGUCUCGUAAAAACGGAGAACCUCUACCGUGGUCCAUGGCGUCGAUCCGCUUACAUUUUACAUUGAUGCAGCAAAAACCAGAUACUUUGAUUAUUCGUUCAACCAGCAACAACGUACACAUUUAGGACGCUGCUCUUUCUAACAUUCAUAGCGAUUACACGCUCUAUUUUCACGUCUAUCGACAUUGUUUCGCGUGGAAAAACUGAGAAGGGAAGCUCGAAGAAUCGUUUAGAACCGUGACAGGCUCGUUCGAUAUUUUCUUUCCUCUUGAGCAACGUGACUAGAAUUACUUGGAUAGAGUAGUAUGUAUAAGAGACUACUUAAUCCAUCAACGAAGAAAAUGCUUCACCGAUGUAGUUAAUGAAUCACUCGAGCGGACGCACGUCGGUUAAACAUCGCAGAUCUGCAUAGAAGACAAUUAAGAGUCGUUAAAAUAAUUCCGGUUAAUUAAAUGUUUCCAGUUGACGGACAGACGUCGCGAUGGAAAGUCGGUUUUGUUCGCGACUUUCAUCUAAUUAAUCCGACUGUCCCUGUUUCUCGGUGAUAUAUCGCAGUGUGGGUGGAAAUACGGAAAUAAAUGGUUCGCGUAUGUUUAAUAAUGGAUCUGAGGCUGCUCUAGCUUGAAACGGUAACGGUGAACGGAAUCGAAAAUAAGCGUCCCUGGGUGAGAGAAAAAAAAUGUAAAGAUGUGGCAGGUAAUUGGACGCCGGUAAUUAACGGAUGAUAAUCACGAUAAUGAUUACGGCGAUGACGACGAUAAUAGUGGUAUCGUUGUAUUAUGCUCGUAGCAGAUACGCCAGUACCUGCUGCUACUAGCAACGGAAGAAGAAAAGAGAAUAAGACGACGUGCAUGAACAGGAAGAAGAGGAAGAGGAAAAAGAAAUGUACCACGUUGGAUCAAUGAGAGGCGCUUUCACGAUAAUAAAUAUCUCACCAUUUAUCACGUCAACUGAUUACGCCCGGAAAAACGUUACCGAUUACCAUUUUCAAUCAUCCUCGGACAGAUCGAUUUACGAUUUCAGUCAUUUUAGCCGGUCGAUCAUUCAUCGUGUUAACGGCAAGGGACACGAAGUGAGACGUGCCAUUCGAAUGGCACAGCCGCGUUUAAGAGCCGAGGCGAACGCGUUUUGUCGCGGCAAUUAACGAGAAGGAACUUUCUUAUUAACUUUCCUCGAAGAAGAGCACCAUGGUGAAACUUUUACGCGGCCGCCGUGGCAAAGAAUAGAGAAAGAAAUUGUCGCGUGCCGGCCGGCUUCUCCAAUCGUCACGGUCUAUAUAUUUUAAUUUUUAGUCUUGCAGCUCGGGCAAUCUCCCAAGGAUGAACGACAGUCGCAUUUGUUUGGCGUAUCAUCGCGUGCGCACGUACCAUAUUAGUUUCUAACAAUUUAAUCGGUAAUUUCUUGAUGUUACGGGAAAGUGAUCGGACUCGUCGAAUGAUACCGUUUCGGAUAGUUAAACAAGCCGAGAAUUAAACAAGCUGAAGUACACUCGCUAGCGCCGAGAUGUCCCUGAACUACUUUCCAACGCGGAAUGCGAGGAAACUAUCAAUUUAAAGAGACACACUUGAAAAACGGAAAUUUAUGCAACCGCAUCUGAUGAGGAUGCAAGUGUUUGAUAAUACAAAUGAGUACAUUUUAGAAAGUUCGAUAAAAAUUAAAAAUUCCCCUACAUUUAAUUACCGACAAUUUAACGGCCGUGCGAAUGCGUAAAGUUCAAGUACCCCAGAAAACUGAUUGUAAUCUUGCCUCGGAAUCAUAUACAGAAAUUUAUCAUCGUUACACCCGUUAUUUCAUAUCCGGAUUAUUAUAAAUAUAAUUGAUGCGUGUUCAUUAACUCGACUCGAGUAAUUUACAUUCCUAGAUCUCGAUUGCGUUGUGCGUAGAGCAGUAUUUUAAUAGAGUGGUUUCUUUCUCUUGGUUUUUUUUACAAGUGCUUUUAGUGGAACUUGUUUAGUGGCUUUGAUUAAAGUUCGUAUUUGUCCUAUCACCUCCGAUCUGAAUCAGCGUGCUCGUACUUUUUUCUAAGCGCGAUUCCCCAGAUAUACGUGCGUGUGUGUGCAACCGUUCGUAUACCAGAAAUUUAAUCAAUGCGACUGCAUGCAAUUAAAAGUAAAACGUGUUUUGAACUUGUCUUAUCGUUCUCAUUAAAAUUGGAAGAGCAUCGCUGUAUUUCUUUACGUUUUGCUUUGGCUAACGUCCGUAGGAAUUAACGAGCAACUUAUUCUCUCCGAUGUGGUAAAAGAAUCGUGUUUCUUCAGCCUAUCUCCAUUAAUAUUACACUGGUAAUAUACGGUGUUAACAUACGGUGUAGCGGAAGUUCUCAUGGAAACAAUCCGACGUUUCCAAAAUAUUCAUUACUCGUUUAUCUUUUACUUAUUAGCAUCGAGUAUCGUGAAAAGUGUAUUCGUACGAUCAGCGUGUUGAAACGAUUUGUACUUUCAAUCUCUAAUAACACUCGAAGGAAUGUA